CCUACGGGAGGCUGCAGUGGGGAAUAUUGGACAAUGGGGGCAACCCUGAUCCAGCCAUGCCGCGUGUGUGAAGAAGGCCCUCGGGUUGUAAAGCACUUUCAGUGAGGAAGAACGCCUGGUGGUUAAUACCCAUCAGGAAAGACAUCACUCACAGAAGAAGCACCGGCUAACUCCGUGCCAGCAGCCGCGGUAAUACGGAGGGUGCGAGCGUUAAUCGGAAUUACUGGGCGUAAAGCGCGCGUAGGUGGCUUGAUAAGCCGGUUGUGAAAGCCCCGGGCUCAACCUGGGAACGGCAUCCGGAACUGUGCAGCUAGAGUGCAGGAGAGGAAGGUAGAAUUCCCGGUGUAGCGGUGAAUUGCGUAGAGAUCGGGAGGAAUACCAGUGGCGAAGGCGGCCUUCUGGACUGACACUGACACUGAGGUGCCAAAGCGUGGGUAGCAAACAGGAUUAGAUACCCUGGUAGUC
RNAcentral lists this ribosomal RNA (465 nucleotides) under Vreelandella stevensii. RNAcentral describes it as "partial 16S ribosomal RNA". It matches the Rfam family "Bacterial small subunit ribosomal RNA", at positions 338 to 795 of the family's 1533-position model. The record is from RNAcentral. Lineage: Bacteria; Pseudomonadati; Pseudomonadota; Gammaproteobacteria; Oceanospirillales; Halomonadaceae.